CCUACCCUACGGGGGGCAGCAGUGAGGAAUAUUGGUCAAUGGGCUUACGCCUGAACCAGCCAAGUCGCGUGAGGGAAGACUGCCCUAUGGGUUGUAAACCUCUUUUGUCAGGGAGCAAUUGGCGCUACGUGUAGCGUUAUCGAGAGUACCUGAAGAAAAAGCAUCGGCUAACUCCGUGCCAGCAGCCGCGGUAAUACGGAGGAUGCGAGCGUUAUCCGGAUUUAUUGGGUUUAAAGGGUGCGUAGGCGGACGCUUAAGUCAGCGGUAAAAUUGCGGGGCUCAACCUCGUCGAGCCGUUGAAACUG
Molecule: ribosomal RNA, 305 nt
Filed under: uncultured bacterium
Lineage: Bacteria
Description: bacterial SSU rRNA
Rfam family: Bacterial small subunit ribosomal RNA
Source: RNAcentral